GCCGGCAGCUAGCUCUCUGCAACUCUCACAUGGUCGCCCACUGAAGCUAAGCAGGGCUGCGCCCGGUCAGUACCUGGAUAGGAGACCACAUGGGAAAGCUAGGUUGCUGCCAGAA
Molecule: ribosomal RNA, 115 nt
Filed under: Danio rerio (zebrafish)
Lineage: Eukaryota; Metazoa; Chordata; Actinopteri; Cypriniformes; Danionidae
Source: RNAcentral